RNAcentral lists this ribosomal RNA (744 nucleotides) under uncultured bacterium. Its description in RNAcentral is "bacterial SSU rRNA". It matches the Rfam family "Bacterial small subunit ribosomal RNA", at positions 8 to 796 of the family's 1533-position model. The record is from RNAcentral.
AGAGUUUGAUCCUGGCUCAGAACGAACGCUGGCGGCAGGCCUAAUACAUGCAAGUCGAGCGGGCGUAGCAAUACGUCAGCGGCGGACGGGUGAGUAACACGUGGGAAUAUGCCCCGAGGUACGGGACAACUCAGGGAAACUUGAGCUAAUACCGUAUGAUCCGGCAACGGCAAAGAUUUAUCGCCUUGGGAUUAGCCCGCGUCCGAUUAGCUAGUUGGUGAGGUAAUGGCCCACCAAGGCACCGAUCGGUAGCUGGUUUGAGAGAACGACCAGCCACACUGGGACUGAGACACGGCCCAGACUCCUACGGGAGGCAGCAGUAGGGAAUCUUGGACAAUGGGGGAAACCCUGAUCCAGCCAUGCCGCGUGAGUGAUGAAGGCCUUCGGGUUGUAAAACUCUUUCGACGGGGACGAUAAUGACGGUACCCGUAGAAGAAGCUCCGGCUAACUUCGUGCCAGCAGCCGCGGUAAUACGAAGGGGGCUAGCGUUGUUCGGAAUUACUGGGCGUAAAGCGCGCGCAGGCGGCCUUUCAAGUCAGGGGUGAAAGCCCAGAGCUCAACUCUGGAAUUGCCUUUGAAACUGUCAGGCUUGAGUACGGGAGAGGUGAGUGGAAUUCCCAGUGUAGAGGUGAAAUUCGUAGAUAUUGGGAAGAACACCGGUGGCGAAGGCGGCUCACUGGCCCGUUUCUGACGCUCAUGCGCGACAGCGUGGGGAUCAAACAGGAUUAGAUACCCUAGUAGUCC